Hylaeus volcanicus is the source of this 1559-nucleotide long non-coding RNA. RefSeq lists it as uncharacterized. NCBI's taxonomy places the organism in Eukaryota, Metazoa, Arthropoda, Insecta, Hymenoptera, Colletidae. The transcript has 3 exons. The record is from RefSeq and is a predicted model, not a curated record.
UUCUUUACAGUUAAAUGCGCUACAAGAGUAUCAUAGGUUACCUAACAAUUAUUUCACGGACUAUUACUUUAAGAAAAUAAAAAAUUUUUUUCUUUGUUUGACUUGGCUGAAGAUAAAUUUGUUCUUUUUAAGCGUGAACGUAUGUGAAUAAAUACUCACCACUACUUUUUUCGUUCCAAAGUUUUAAUAUAUUACUUUCAAGGUUCUCAACAUGUAUAGGUUAUCAGAACAAACAAAUGAGAAAAUUAUUUUUAUACUGUUGCUUGUAGAACUGCCUUGAAGUUUUAUAUUCAACGCACAACGUAGAAGAAUAUUUGUUAUCCUUCUUGGUAGAACGUUUAAGAUUUAUCUCUGUAAAUAUGUUUCUUGAUUUAUUUUCUGAUCACGCGCCUUUGUUCAGCUUUCAGUCAAUUGUACGGUUCAAAACAUUAAUUUCUUUUCAUAUACUAAAUAUAUUGACUCGCGAGCGCAUAACGCACGAGUGUGAGGCUAAAAGUUUCUCCUCCUAAUGUAUCUAGUAGUUUAGGUAAAAUUAAACCGAAAUCAAGUUAGUCUGUUAGUAGGCUAACGACCGAGUCUAAAGUACUUGAUUGUUUAAAGUAGUGGAGUCAAUUAAUUAGGUCGCUGUCCAUAAAAGUUUUGUAUAGUUCAACUUGUUGUCUUUGAUGUUCAUUGGAAGGCGUGAUUGGCGAGACUUCUACCUAAAGAUUAGAAGGGUUGUAAACCAUUUCACAAAAAAAAAGUUGGUUAAUCAUCUGCCGUCGACCUAGGACUUAACUUACAUGAGAAUUCGAGCGAUGACUUUCUAAAAUGUCAAAAAAGCUCCUCUUUUAUUUAGUGUUUUGUUCAGAGAUCGUUUUGAAUGACGUAACGACAUUAAAUGGCUAGCGUCCUUACCCAUGUUUUAGGAGAUAGGAGUUUCUGUUUGAAAUGUUUUCUAGUCAAUCGCCUGGAGUUAGUCUGGUAGUAGGCUAAGGCUAAACUUCAAUGAUUAGUUUCUUAAGCAUUGAAAACACUCUCGGUUCGUUAGGUAUUCCCUCCUUAGACAACCUGUAAAGUCGAAUUCUGCUCUCUAAAAAAAAUAACCGUUAUUUUAACAAUUUGGUUUUCAAGGUUAUAUGAGUAGAGUUUUCACCCAAGACCUUAAAGAAGGGAACCUCUUUUUACAAUGGGCUUUAAUCAAUGUCUCGAAUCAAUCUAUGAAUAGGUUGAAACUAAAUCCUACGGAUACGUAGCCUGGACAACCCCCCUAACUAGCCGUCUCAUUGACUAUUCCCUUUUAGUUAUAGGGGGCCAAGUCUAGUUAUAAGCUCUCAAAAGAUGUUUUAUAAUGUAAUUGUUUGGAAUUAGUCUAGCAGUAAACUUGAAUCGAAUCCUAGUAUCAUUUGUCCAAUCGACAAAAAAUUUCUCUUGCCAUUCACUAGUUUUUCCAGCAUUAAGCUACAAAAACUACUGAUCAGUUAUGAAAAGAUUUUCGUAAUGUAAAUGUUUUUGUUGAGAAAAAAAUUUUCAUGAUUUUCUUUUGAAAAAUCGUGUUUAACUAUUGUAUUUAUUAAUUA